Molecule: ribosomal RNA, 441 nt
Filed under: uncultured bacterium
Lineage: Bacteria
Description: partial 16S ribosomal RNA
Rfam family: Bacterial small subunit ribosomal RNA
Source: RNAcentral
CCUACGGGGGGCAGCAGUGGGGAAUAUUGCACAAUGGGGGAAACCCUGAUGCAGCAACGCCGCGUGAGUGAAGAAGUAUUUCGGUAUGUAAAGCUCUAUCAGUAGGGAAGAAGAAAGACGGUACCUGACUAAGAAGCCCCGGCUAACUACGUGCCAGCAGCCGCGGUAAUACGUAGGGGGCAAGCGUUAUCCGGAUUUACUGGGUGUAAAGGGAGCGUAGACGGCUGUGCAAGUCUGAAGUGAAAGCCCGUGGCUCAACCGCGGAACUGCUUUGGAAACUGUGAAGCGGGAGUGCGGGAGGGGCAGGCGGAAUUCCUGGUGUAGCGGUGAAAUGCGUAGAUAUCAGGAGGAACACCGGCGGCGAAGGCGGCCUGCUGGACCGUAACUGACGUUGAGGCUCGAAAGCGUGGGGAGCAAACAGGAUUAGAUACCCUUGUAGUC